CACGACUACAUUAGAUACCCGUGUAGUCCUAGCCGUAAACGAUACUCGCUAGGUGUCGGCCACGGUGCGACCGUUGUCGGUGCCGUAGGGAAGCCGUGAAGCGAGCCACCGUGGGAAGUACCGGCCGCAAGGCUGAAACUUAAAGGAAUUGGCGGGGAGCACAACAACGGGUGGAGCUUGCGGUUUAAUUGGAUUCAACGCCGGAAAUCUUACCGGGACCGACAGCAACAUGAAGGCCAAGCUGAAGACUUUGCCGGAUUAGCUG
This 265-nucleotide ribosomal RNA is filed under the name uncultured archaeon. RNAcentral's name for it is "partial 16S ribosomal RNA". It matches the Rfam family "Archaeal small subunit ribosomal RNA", at positions 718 to 982 of the family's 1478-position model. The record is from RNAcentral.